GACGAACGCUGGCGGCGUGCUUAACACAUGCAAGUCGAACGGAAAGGCCCUGCUUUUGUGGGGUGCUCGAGUGGCGAACGGGUGAGUAACACGUGAGUAACCUGCCCUUGACUUUGGGAUAACUUCAGGAAACUGGGGCUAAUACCGGAUAGGAGCUCCUGCUGCACGGUGGGGGUUGGAAAGUUCGGGCGUUAUGGGAUGGACUGGCGGCUUAUCCGCUAGUUGGUGAGGUAGUGGCUUACCAAGGCUUCGACGGGUAGCCGGCCUGAGAGGGUGGCCGGCCACAUUGGGCCUGCGAGACGGCCCAGACUGCUACGUGAGGCAGCAGUGGGAAGUAUUGCGCAGUGGGCGGGAGCCAGAUGCAGCGACGCCGCGUGCGGGAUGCCGGCCUUCGGGUUGUGAACAGCUUUCGCCGGUGACGAAGCGUGAGUGACGGUAAUGGGUAAAGAAGCACCGGCUAACUACGUG
Molecule: ribosomal RNA, 468 nt
Filed under: uncultured bacterium
Lineage: Bacteria
Description: partial 16S ribosomal RNA
Rfam family: Bacterial small subunit ribosomal RNA
Source: RNAcentral